Molecule: ribosomal RNA, 119 nt
Filed under: Pteropus alecto (black flying fox)
Lineage: Eukaryota; Metazoa; Chordata; Mammalia; Chiroptera; Pteropodidae
Source: RNAcentral
GUCUACGGCCAUGCCACCCUGAACAAGCCCGAUCCUGUCUGAUCUUGGAAGCUAUGCAGGGUCGGGCCUUCUUAGUACUUGGAUGGGAGACCAGCUGGGAAUAUCAGGUGCUGUAGGCG